AUUGAACGCUGGCGGCAGGCCUAACACAUGCAAGUCGAACGAGUGGCGGACGGGUGAGUAAUGUCUGGGAAACUGCCAGAUGGAGGGGGAUAACUACUGGAAACGGUAUCUAAUCCCGCAUACCCUCAGGUGUGCCCAGAUGGGUUUAGCUUGGUGGUGGGGUAAGGGCUCACCAAGGCGACGAUCCCUCGCUGGUGUGAGAGGAUGACCAGCCAAACUGGAACUGAGACACGGCCCGGACUCCUACGGGAGGCAGCAGUGGGGAAUAUGGCACAAUGGGCGCAAGCCUGAUGCAGCCAUGCCGCGUGUAUGAAGAAGGCCUUCGGGUUGUAAAGUACGUUCAGCGGGGAGGCGUUACCCGCAGAAGAAGCACCGGCUAACUCCGUGCCAGCAGCCGCGGUAAUUC
RNAcentral lists this ribosomal RNA (406 nucleotides) under uncultured bacterium. Its description in RNAcentral is "partial 16S ribosomal RNA". It matches the Rfam family "Bacterial small subunit ribosomal RNA", at positions 30 to 526 of the family's 1533-position model. The record is from RNAcentral.